AUUGAACGCUGGCGGCAUGCUUUACACAUGCAAGUCGAACGGCAGCGCGGGCUUCGGCCUGGCGGCGAGUGGCGAACGGGUGAGUAAUACAUCGGAACGUGCCCAGUAGUGGGGGAUAGCUCGGCGAAAGCCGGAUUAAUACCGCAUACGACCUGAGGGUGAAAGCGGGGGAUCUUCGGACCUCGCGCUAUUGGAGCGGCCGAUGGCAGAUUAGCUAGUUGGUGGGGUAAAGGCCUACCAAGGCGACGAUCUGUAGCUGGUCUGAGAGGACGACCAGCCACACUGGGACUGAGACACGGCCCAGACUCCUACGGGAGGCAGCAGUGGGGAAUUUUGGACAAUGGGCGAAAGCCUGAUCCAGCGAUGCCGCGUGUGUGAUGAAGGCCUUCGGGUUGUAAAGCACUUUUGGCGGGAACGAAAAGGACUGUGCCAAUACCACGGUUCGAUGACGGUACCCGCAGAAUAAGCACCGGCUAACUACGUG
This 484-nucleotide ribosomal RNA is filed under the name uncultured bacterium. Its description in RNAcentral is "partial 16S ribosomal RNA". It matches the Rfam family "Bacterial small subunit ribosomal RNA", at positions 29 to 507 of the family's 1533-position model. The record is from RNAcentral.